UAGUGGCGAACGGGUGAGUAACACGUGAGUAACCUGCCCUUGACUCUGGGAUAACCUCCGGAAACGGAAGCUAAUACCGGAUACGACGUACGGAGGCAUCUCCUGUACGUGGAAAGAACUUCGGUCAAGGAUGGACUCGCGGCCUAUCAGGUAGUUGGUGAGGUAACGGCUCACCAAGCCUACGACGGGUAGCCGGCCUGAGAGGGUGACCGGCCACACUGGGACUGAGACACGGCCCAGACUCCUACGGGAGGCAGCAGUGGGGAAUAUUGCACAAUGGGCGCAAGCCUGAUGCAGCAACGCCGCGUGAGGGACGACGGCCUUCGGGUUGUAAACCUCUUUUAGUAGGGAAGAAGCGAAAGUGACGGUACCUGCAGAAAAAGCACCGGCUAACUACGUGCCAGCAGCCGCGGUAAUACGUAGGGUGCGAGCGUUGUCCGGAAUUAUUGGGCGUAAAGAGCUCGUAGGCGGUCUGUCGCGUCUGCUGUGAAAACCCGAGGCUCAACCUCGGGCCUGCAGUGGGUACGGGCAGACUAGAGUGCGGUAGGGGAGAAUGGAAUUCCUGGUGUAGCGGUGGAAUGCGCAGAUAUCAGGAGGAACACCGAUGGCGAAGGCAGUUCUCUGGGCCGUAACUGACGCUGAGGAGCGAAAGCGUGGGGAGCGAACAGGAUUAGAUACCCUGGUAGUCCACGCCGUAAACGUUGGGCGCUAGAUGUGGGGACCAUUCCACGGUUUCCGUGUCGCAGCUAACGCAUUAAGCGCCCCGCCUGGGGAGUACGGCCGCAAGGCUAAAACUCAAAGGAAUUGACGGGGGCCCGCACAAGCGGCGGAGCAUGCGGAUUAAUUCGAUGCAACGCGAAGAACCUUACCAAGGCUUGACAUACACGAGAACGCCCUAGAAAUAGGGAACUCUUUGGACACUCGUGAACAGGUGGUGCAUGGUUGUCGUCAGCUCGUGUCGUGAGAUGUUGGGUUAAGUCCCGCAACGAGCGCAACCCUCGUUCUAUGUUGCCAGCGCGUAAUGGCGGGAACUCAUAGGAGACUGCCGGGGUCAACUCGGAGGAAGGUGGGGAUGACGUCAAAUCAUCAUGCCCCUUAUGUCUUGGGCUUCACGCAUGCUACAAUGGCCGGUACAAAGGGCUGCAAUACCGUAAGGUGGAGCGAAUCCCAAAAAGCCGGUCUCAGUUCGGAUUGAGGUCUGCAACUCGACCUCAUGAAGUCGGAGUCGCUAGUAAUCGCAGAUCAGCAACGCUGCGGUGAAUACGUUCCCGGGCCUUGU
This 1279-nucleotide ribosomal RNA is filed under the name Leifsonia sp. MUSC60T. RNAcentral describes it as "bacterial SSU rRNA". It matches the Rfam family "Bacterial small subunit ribosomal RNA", at positions 93 to 1384 of the family's 1533-position model. Lineage: Bacteria; Bacillati; Actinomycetota; Actinomycetes; Micrococcales; Microbacteriaceae. The record is from RNAcentral.